This 801-nucleotide ribosomal RNA is filed under the name uncultured bacterium. RNAcentral's name for it is "partial 16S ribosomal RNA". It matches the Rfam family "Bacterial small subunit ribosomal RNA", at positions 1 to 797 of the family's 1533-position model. The record is from RNAcentral.
AGGUAGUAACCCUGAAAUCCUAUGCUUCCCGGCCCGCCAUGGGCGGCCGCGGGAAUUCGAUUAGAGUUUGAUCCUGGCUCAGGACGAACGCUGGCGGCGUGCUUAACACAUGCAAGUCGAGCGCACUCUUCGGAGUGAGCGGCAGACGGGUGAGUAACACGUGGGAAUCUACCCAUCUCUACGGAACAACUCCGGGAAACUGGAGCUAAUACCGUAUACGCCCUUUGGGGGAAAGAUUUAUCGGAGAUGGAUGAGCCCGCGUUGGAUUAGCUAGUUGGUGGGGUAAAGGCCUACCAAGGCGACGAUCCAUAGCUGGUCUGAGAGGAUGAUCAGCCACACUGGGACUGAGACACGGCCCAGACUCCUACGGGAGGCAGCAGUGGGGAAUAUUGGACAAUGGGCGCAAGCCUGAUCCAGCCAUGCCGCGUGAGUGAUGAAGGCCCUAGGGUUGUAAAGUUCUUUCACCGGUGAAGAUAAUGACGGUAACCGGAGAAGAAGCCCCGGCUAACUUCGUGCCAGCAGCCGCGGUAAUACGAAGGGGGCUAGCGUUGUUCGGAAUUACUGGGCGUAAAGCGCACGUAGGCGGAUUGUUAAGUGAGGGGUGAAAUCCCAGGGCUCAACCCUGGAUCUGCUUCUCAUACUGGCAAUCUCGAGUUCGAGAGAGGUGAGUGGAAUUGCGAGUGUAGAGGUGAAAUUCGUAUAUUUCGCAGGAACACCCUGGCGAAGGUUGUCACUGGGUCGAUACUGACGCUGAGGUGGGAAAGCGUGGGGAGCAUACAGGAUUAGAUCCCCCCGAAUUCA